UAUAGAUUACAUAGAAGGGCAAAAUGGUAAAAUCAUCUGUGGCUCAUGCGCUUGGCGUGAUAGAAGGGCAUGUCGGUAAAUUUGUCUUCACGCGGGAAAUCUUUCGCGUCUCUGGCGAUUCCGCUGAUGAAGGUAGUUCCUCUGCCGAAGGCUGCUUCUCUGGCGAGGAUAACUUCUCUGGCGAAGGUGACUUCUCUGGCGAGG
Molecule: long non-coding RNA, 204 nt
Filed under: Salvia miltiorrhiza (redroot sage)
Lineage: Eukaryota; Viridiplantae; Streptophyta; Magnoliopsida; Lamiales; Lamiaceae
Description: long non-coding RNA (SMIL_LNC000830)
Source: RNAcentral